GAGGUGGUUAAACCUCUCCCAGUGGGCCCUGCAGAGUUGUCGUGACAGCGUUGACACGCUUGUGCCUAGGCACAGAGGACAGGUUUUUGGGGGAGCUCAGGGCCACAGGGGAAGUGGAUGGCUCCCUGAGCUGACUAUAUUAAUAAUACAGGAGCCAGAGAGUAAACAUUCUUUCUGUGGUUACUUCCAGGCUCUGGGAAAGAUGACCACUCUCACGCGGCAGGACCUGAACUUCGGGCAAGUUGUUGCAGAUGUUCUUUCAGAAUUUCUGGAAGUGGCUGUUCACCUUAUCUUGUAUGUCAGAGAAGUUUACCCUAUUGGGAUCUUUCAGAAGAGGAAAAAAUACAAUGUACCUGUCCAGAUGUCCUGCCACCCCGAGCUGAACCAGUACAUCCAGGACACGCUGCACUGCGUAAAGCCGCUGCUCGAGAAGAACGAUGUGGAGAAAGUCGUAGUGGUGAUCCUGGAUAAAGAGCACCACCCUGUGGAGAGAUUUGUCUUCGAGAUCACCCAGCCACCUCUUCUUUCCAUUAGCUCAGAGUCCCUGCUGUCCCACGUGGAGCAGUUACUGCGUGCCUUCAUCCUGAAGAUCAGCGUGUGCGAUGCUGUGCUUGACAACAAUCCCCCAGGUUGCACCUUCACAGUUCUGGUUCACACACGGGAGGCUGCCACACGGAACAUGGAAAAGAUCCAGGUGAUAAAGGACUUCCCGUGGAUCCUCGCUGACGAACAAGAUGUGCACAUGCACGACCCCCGGCUCAUUCCCCUGAAAACGAUGACAUCUGACAUCUUAAAGAUGCAGCUGUACGUAGAAGAGCGAGCACACAAAGGCACCUGAUUCCAUAUCUUCCUUGCCUUCAAGCCUCAUCUGAUCUUCCAGUGGAAUAAGAUACAACACAAACCAUACCUUGAUAACCGUCUCUUCAGCUGGCCUUCCGGGUGAAUGUAGAGCAGCUGCUGCCUCGAUUUCAAGUGCUCUUACCAGUGUAUAUAGAACUGACUUGGAAUGUGGAGCCAGAGCCUGUUCCCCUGGACGCUCACGUGUGAGUGAGUGUAGGUUUUGUUACAGCCAGUCCCUGCAGCGCGGUCAGCGCUUUGUACAGAUCCAGGUCUCACCUCAACAGGGCAUCUCCACUGCACAGCGCAGCGACACAGCGACGGGCUCGUACUAAAGGGCACUAGUAAUUGCAGUAACAUCCAUGGUACAAGAGAAUGAAAGAGGAAGACAAGUCCUUCCAGAGGGCUGGGCCUGCAGAAGUUCUGCUGCAAGAAGAACUGGCUGCUUCUAUUUGGGAUCAUCUGUG
RNA transcript from Calidris pugnax (ruff), 1304 nucleotides. It is a transcript of the gene named MAD2 mitotic arrest deficient-like 2 (yeast), with no coding region annotated. NCBI's taxonomy places the organism in Eukaryota, Metazoa, Chordata, Aves, Charadriiformes, Scolopacidae. The record is from RefSeq and is a predicted model, not a curated record. The transcript has 9 exons.